GUGCUUGCUUCGUCAGCACAUAUACUAAAAUUGGAAUGAUUCAGAGAAGGCUGGCACGGCCUCUGUGCAAGGAUGACAUGCAAAUUUGUGAAGUGUCCCAAAAAAAU
Molecule: small nuclear RNA, 107 nt
Organism: Molossus molossus (Pallas's mastiff bat)
Lineage: Eukaryota; Metazoa; Chordata; Mammalia; Chiroptera; Molossidae
Source: RefSeq, a predicted model, not a curated record